RNAcentral lists this ribosomal RNA (119 nucleotides) under Helianthus annuus (common sunflower). Lineage: Eukaryota; Viridiplantae; Streptophyta; Magnoliopsida; Asterales; Asteraceae. The record is from RNAcentral.
GGUUGCCAUCAUAACAGCACUAAUGCACCGGAUCCCAUCAGAACUCCGCAGUUAAGCGUGCUUGGGCGAGAGUAGUACUAGGAUGGGUGACCCCCUGGGAAGUCCUCGUGUUGCAACCC